This 489-nucleotide ribosomal RNA is filed under the name uncultured bacterium. RNAcentral's name for it is "partial 16S ribosomal RNA". It matches the Rfam family "Bacterial small subunit ribosomal RNA", at positions 28 to 507 of the family's 1533-position model. The record is from RNAcentral.
GAUGAACGCUAGCGGCAGGCUUAAUACAUGCAAGUCGUGGGGCAGCAGGACUGUAGCAAUCCAGUUGCUGGCGACCGGCACACGGGUGCGGCACACGUACGCAACUUACCCUGAACUGGGGGAUAGCCCGGGGAAACCCGGAUUAAUACCCCGUAAUAUAAUGGAGUGGCAUCACUUUAUUAUUAAAGCUCCGGCGGUUCGGGAUGGGCGUGCGGCUGAUUAGGUAGCUGGUUGAGGUAACGGCUCACCAAGCCUACGAUCAGUAACUGGUGUGAGAGCACGACCAAUCACACGGGCGAUGAGGCACAGACCCGACUCCUACGGAAGGCAACAGUAAGGAAUGUUAGGCGCGGGAGGCUACUCUGACCCAGCCAUGCCGGGUAGAGGAGGCAGGCGCUCUGGGUAGUAAGCUUCUUUUGUAGAGGACAAAACCUGUGUAUUCUUACGCAGUUGACGGUACCCAAGGAAUAAGCACCGGCUAACUCCGUG